RNAcentral lists this small RNA (29 nucleotides) under Bombyx mori (domestic silkworm). RNAcentral's name for it is "ovarian small RNA-28051". The record is from RNAcentral. Lineage: Eukaryota; Metazoa; Arthropoda; Insecta; Lepidoptera; Bombycidae.
UCCUUGAUGCCCUUCACGUUUUUGAAAAU